UGGUUCUCAGAAGUUGUGAUGUGCUCAGU
RNAcentral lists this non-coding RNA (29 nucleotides) under Rattus norvegicus (Norway rat). Lineage: Eukaryota; Metazoa; Chordata; Mammalia; Rodentia; Muridae. The record is from RNAcentral.